RNAcentral lists this transfer RNA (63 nucleotides) under Rattus norvegicus (Norway rat). It matches the Rfam family "tRNA". From Rfam's summary of the family: Transfer RNA (tRNA) molecules are approximately 80 nucleotides in length. The record is from Rfam by way of RNAcentral. Lineage: Eukaryota; Metazoa; Chordata; Mammalia; Rodentia; Muridae.
GGGGAUUUAGCUCAAUGGUAGAGCGCUUGCCUAGCAAGCGCAAGGCCCUGGAUUCAGUUCCCA